GAUGAAGAACGCAGCGAAAUGCGACAAGUAAUGUGAAUUGCAGAAUUCCGUGAAUCAUCGAAUCUUUGAACGCACAUUGCGCCCUCUGGUAUUCCGAAGGGUAUGCUCGUUUGAGUGUCAUUGUACUCUCACACUUCUAAUUCCUUUCGGGAUUGGGAGCGGUGGACUUGGGUGUUGCUGCUUUAGUUGUGGCUCACCUCAAAUAAGUUAGUGCAACUCUUGGUUGGACAUAGUACGGCGUGAUAAGUGUCUUCGCCGGCGCCUCUGUAAGGAGGGUGGCCGAUCGGGAGCUCUGUGCUUCAAACCGUCUUCGGACAAUCUUUGACAACUUGACCUCAAAUCGAGUAGGACUACCCGCUGAACUUAAGCAUAUCAAUAAGCGGAGGA
This 387-nucleotide unclassified non-coding RNA is filed under the name soil metagenome. RNAcentral describes it as "partial contains 5.8S ribosomal RNA, internal transcribed spacer 2, and large subunit ribosomal RNA". The stretch from base 1 to 120 matches the Rfam family "5.8S ribosomal RNA", at positions 35 to 154 of the family's 154-position model. The record is from RNAcentral.